RNAcentral lists this ribosomal RNA (253 nucleotides) under uncultured bacterium. RNAcentral describes it as "partial 16S ribosomal RNA". It matches the Rfam family "Bacterial small subunit ribosomal RNA", at positions 524 to 776 of the family's 1533-position model. The record is from RNAcentral.
UACAGGGGGGGCAAGCGUUGUUCGGAAUUACUGGGCGUAAAGGGCUCGUAGGUGGCCAACUAAGUCAGACGUGAAAUCCCUCAGCUUAACUGGGGAACUGCGUCUGAUACUGGAUGGCUUGAGUUUGGGAGAGGGAUGCGGAAUUCCCGGUGUAGCGGUGGAAUGCGCAGAUAUCGGGAGGAACACCCGUAGCGAAGGCGGUUCUCUGGGCCAAUACUGACGCUGAGGAGCGAAAGCGUGGGGAGCAAACAGG